Molecule: regulatory RNA element, 67 nt
Organism: Flavobacterium succinicans
Lineage: Bacteria; Pseudomonadati; Bacteroidota; Flavobacteriia; Flavobacteriales; Flavobacteriaceae
Rfam family: S15-Flavobacteria ribosomal protein leader
Source: Rfam
UACUUUUGCACCCGUCUUGCAAUAGCUGUGAGUCAUACAUAAAAAUCAUUUAAAUAAUAUUAGCAUG